GCAGUUCCGGCGGGGGCGAACUGAGAACACAUGAGAAUAAUGAGAUGAGAUUGCUCGCCUCGCGGUACGGUUCGUGCUGGCCUGGACCACCGUCGUCGCCGUUCAUCUUGUACGCAUAAUAAUGCUGCAUGUGUUCUCAGGUCGCCCCCGCAGGGCCUUC
This is a non-coding RNA of Zea mays, 160 nucleotides long. NCBI's taxonomy places the organism in Eukaryota, Viridiplantae, Streptophyta, Magnoliopsida, Poales, Poaceae. The record is from Rfam.